GCUGCCGUAGCUCAGUAGGCAGAGCAUCUCCAUGGUAAGGAGAAGGUCGCCGGUUCGAUUCCGGCCGGCAGCUCCA
This 76-nucleotide transfer RNA is filed under the name Clostridiales bacterium. RNAcentral's name for it is "tRNA-Thr". It matches the Rfam family "tRNA". Rfam says of the family: Transfer RNA (tRNA) molecules are approximately 80 nucleotides in length. Lineage: Bacteria; Bacillati; Bacillota; Clostridia; Eubacteriales. The record is from RNAcentral.